This 451-nucleotide ribosomal RNA is filed under the name uncultured bacterium. RNAcentral describes it as "partial 16S ribosomal RNA". It matches the Rfam family "Bacterial small subunit ribosomal RNA", at positions 29 to 523 of the family's 1533-position model. The record is from RNAcentral.
AACGAACGCUGGCGGCAGGCCUAAAACAUGCAAGUCGAACGGGUGUAGCAAUACAUCAGUGGCGCACGGGUGAGUAACGCGUGGGAACAUGCCCCUUAGUACGGGACAACGUCGGGAAACUGACGCUAAUACCGUAUAAUAUCUCCGGAUCAAAGAUUUAUCGCUGAGGGAGUGGCCCGCGUCUGAUUAGCUAGUUGGUGAGGUAAUGGCUCACCAAGGCUACGAUCAGUAGCAGGUCUGAGAGGAUGAUCUGCCACACUGGGACUGAGACACGGCCCAGACUCCUACGGGAGGCAGCAGUUAGGAAUAUUGGACAAUGGGCGAAAGCCUGAUCCAGCCAUGCCGCGUGGGUGAUGAAGGCCUUAGGGUUGUAAAGCACUUUCGUUGGGGAUGAUAAUGACCGUACCCAAAGAAGAAGCACCGGCUAACUUCGUGCCAGCAGCCGCCGUAA